This 825-nucleotide ribosomal RNA is filed under the name uncultured bacterium. RNAcentral's name for it is "bacterial SSU rRNA". It matches the Rfam family "Bacterial small subunit ribosomal RNA", at positions 668 to 1504 of the family's 1533-position model. The record is from RNAcentral.
UUGUGGUGUAGCGGUGAAAUGCAUAGAUAUCACGAGGAACUCCGAUUGCGCAGGCAGCUUACUAAACCAUAACUGACGCUCAAGCACGAAGGCGUGGGGAUCAAACAGGAUUAGAUACCCUGGUAGUCCACGCAGUAAACGAUGAUUACUGGCUGUUUGCGAUAUAAUGUAAGCGGCUGAGCGAAAGCGUUAAGUAAUCCACCUGGGGAGUACGUUCGCAAGAAUGAAACUCAAAGGAAUUGACGGGGGCCCGCACAGGCGGAGGAACAUGUGGUUUAAUUCGAUGAUACGCGAGGAACCUUACCCGGGCUUGAAAUGCGUCUGACAGUCGGAGAGAUCCGAUCUCCCUUCGGGGCAGACGUGUAGGUGCUGCAUGGUUGUCGUCAGCUCGUGCCGUGAGGUGUCGGCUUAAGUGCCAUAACGAGCGCAACCCUCAUCGUUAGUUGCCAUCAGGUAGUGCUGGGGACUCUAACGAGACUGCCAUCGUAAGAUGCGAGGAAGGUGGGGAUGACGUCAAAUCAGCACGGCCCUUACGUCCGGGGCGACACACGUGUUACAAUGGGUGGUACAAAGGGCAGCUACAUGGCGACAUGGUGCCAAUCCCCAAAACCACCCUCAGUUCGGAUCGGAGUCUGCAACUCGACUCCGUGAAGCUGGAUUCGCUAGUAAUCGCGCAUCAGCCACGGCGCGGUGAAUACGUUCCCGGGCCUUGUACACACCGCCCGUCAGGCCAUGGAAGCUGGGGGUGCCUGAAGUCCGUAACCGUUGAGGAGCGGCYUAGGGUAAAACCGGUGACUGGGGCUAAGUCGUAACAAGGUAWCCGUA